ACACGGAGGGUGCGAGCGUUACUCGGAAUCACUGGGCGUAAAGCGCGCGCAGGCGGCUAUUUAAGUUGGAUGUGAAAGCCUACGGCUCAACCGUAGAACUGCAUCCAAAACUAUUAGACUAGAGUGUGGGAGAGGAAGAUGGAAUUAGUUGUGUAGGGGUAAAAUCCGUAGAGAUAACUAGGAAUACCAAAAGCGAAGGCAAUCUUCUGGAACACUACUGACGCUGAGGCACGAAAGCGUGGGGAGCAAACAGGAUUAGAAACCCUAGUAGUCC
This 274-nucleotide ribosomal RNA is filed under the name uncultured bacterium. Its description in RNAcentral is "partial 16S ribosomal RNA". It matches the Rfam family "Bacterial small subunit ribosomal RNA", at positions 523 to 796 of the family's 1533-position model. The record is from RNAcentral.